This 279-nucleotide unclassified non-coding RNA is filed under the name Vararia abortiphysa. Its description in RNAcentral is "partial contains 5.8S ribosomal RNA, internal transcribed spacer 2, and large subunit ribosomal RNA". The record is from RNAcentral. Lineage: Eukaryota; Fungi; Basidiomycota; Agaricomycetes; Russulales; Lachnocladiaceae.
CGCACCUUGCGCCCCUUGGUAUUCCGAGGGGCACGCCUGUUUGAGUGUCGUGAAUUCCUCCACCCUCAGGUCUUUGUUGAACUGAUGGGUUGGGACUUGGAGGUCUUGCGGGUCUAGGUCCGCUCCUCUUGAAUGCAUGAGUGAAGUUCUCACUCGGCCUUGGUGUGAUAGUUAUCUACGCCUUGGUUCGAUCGCUUCGGCGGGGCUUUGCUUCCAACCGUCUUCGGACAAUCUCAUUGACUUGACCUCAAAUCAGGCGGGACUACCCGCUGAACUUAA